GAAUUUUGGACAAUGGGCGAAAGCCUGAUCCAGCAAUGCCGCGUGCAGGAUGAAGGCCUUCGGGUUGUAAACUGCCUUUGUACGGAAUGAAAAGCUUCGGGUUAAUACCCUGGCGUCAUGCCGGUACCGCAAGAAUAAGCACCGCCUAACUACGUGCCAGCAGCCGCGGUAAUACGUAGGGUGCAAGCGUUCAUCGGAAUUACUGGGCGUAAAUCGUGCGCAGGCGGUUUUGUAAGACAGAGGUGAAAUCCCCGGGCUCAACCUGGGAACUGCCUUUGUGACUACAAGGCUAGAGUACGGCAGAGGGGGGUGGAAUUCCGCGUGUAGCAGUGAAAUGCGUAGAUAUGCGGAGGAACACCGAUGGCGAAGGCAACCCCCUGGGCCUAUACUGACGCUCAUGCACGAAAGCGUGGGGAGCAAACA
This 423-nucleotide ribosomal RNA is filed under the name uncultured bacterium. RNAcentral's name for it is "partial 16S ribosomal RNA". It matches the Rfam family "Bacterial small subunit ribosomal RNA", at positions 359 to 774 of the family's 1533-position model. The record is from RNAcentral.